UUGAAGGUUGUCCAAUAAUACAUGCUUUACUUUGGCCAAGGUGAUUAGAGCUGUGGCUGGAAAACACUAGAGGAUAGCAUUAUCUUUCUCCAUAUGAUUUUACAAACUAAUGCAUCCUGGAAACUCAAGAAAUACUUUUAUUCAAGGCAGGUGCUGAUGUAGGUGUGUGCUGGCAGAACUCCAAGAGCCUGUCUCACUGACCUUAACUAAGUGGAGGAGGAUGUACACAAAUAGAUAAUAUAAGACUCAUCAUCCGGUGACUGCUACUGUAUUUCUGCUUCUGCCUUGUGGAAACAGAACAGCUUUCAUCAGAAAUGUUUCAUUACUG
This is a long non-coding RNA of Perca flavescens (yellow perch), 328 nucleotides long. RefSeq lists it as uncharacterized. Lineage: Eukaryota; Metazoa; Chordata; Actinopteri; Perciformes; Percidae. The record is from RefSeq and is a predicted model, not a curated record. The transcript is spliced from 3 exons.